GAUGAACGCUGGCGGCGUGCCUAAUACAUGCAAGUCGAGCGAACGGACGAGAAGCUUGCUUCUCUGAUGUUAGCGGCGGACGGGUGAGUAACACGUGGAUAACCUACCUAUAAGACUGGGAUAACUUCGGGAAACCGGAGCUAAUACCGGAUAAUAUUUUGAACCGCAUGGUUCAAAAGUGAAAGACGGUCUUGCUGUCACUUAUAGAUGGAUCCGCGCUGCAUUAGCUAGUUGGUAAGGUAACGGCUUACCAAGGCAACGAUGCAUAGCCGACCUGAGAGGGUGAUCGGCCACACUGGAACUGAGACACGGUCCAGACUCCUACGGGAGGCAGCAGUAGGGAAUCUUCCGCAAUGGGCGAAAGCCUGACGGAGCAACGCCGCGUGAGUGAUGAAGGUCUUCGGAUCGUAAAACUCUGUUAUUAGGGAAGAACAUAUGUGUAAGUAACUGUGCACAUCUUGACGGUACCUAAUCAGAAAGCCACGGCUAACUACGUGCCAGCAGCCGCGGUAAUACGUAGGUGGCAAGCGUUAUCCGGAAUUAUUGGGCGUAAAGCGCGCGUAGGCGGUUUUUUAAGUCUGAUGUGAAAGCCCACGGCUCAACCGUGGAGGGUCAUUGGAAACUGGAAAACUUGAGUGCAGAAGAGGAAAGUGGAAUUCCAUGUGUAGCGGUGAAAUGCGCAGAGAUAUGGAGGAACACCAGUGGCGAAGGCGACUUUCUGGUCUGUAACUGACGCUGAUGUGCGAAAGCGUGGGGAUCAAACAGGAUUAGAUACCCUGGUAGUCCACGCCGUAAACGAUGAGUGCUAAGUGUUAGGGGGUUUCCGCCCCUUAGUGCUGCAGCUAACGCAUUAAGCACUCCGCCUGGGGAGUACGACCGCAAGGUUGAAACUCAAAGGAAUUGGCGGGGACCCGCACAAGCGGUGGAGCAUGUGGUUUAAUUCGAAGCAACGCGAAGAACCUUACCAAAUCUUGACAUCCUUUGACAACUCUAGAGAUAGAGCCUUCCCCUUCGGGGGACAAAGUGACAGGUGGUGCAUGGUUGUCGUCAGCUCGUGUCGUGAGAUGUUGGGUUAAGUCCCGCAACGAGCGCAACCCUUAAGCUUAGUUGCCAUCAUUAAGUUGGGCACUCUAAGUUGACUGCCGGUGACAAACCGGAGGAAGGUGGGGAUGACGUCAAAUCAUCAUGCCCCUUAUGAUUUGGGCUACACACGUGCUACAAUGGACAAUACAAAGGGCAGCGAAACCGCGAGGUCAAGCAAAUCCCAUAAAGUUGUUCUCAGUUCGGAUUGUAGUCUGCAACUCGACUACAUGAAGCUGGAAUCGCUAGUAAUCGUAGAUCAGCAUGCUACGGUGAAUACGUUCCCGGGUCU
RNAcentral lists this ribosomal RNA (1372 nucleotides) under uncultured bacterium. RNAcentral's name for it is "bacterial SSU rRNA". It matches the Rfam family "Bacterial small subunit ribosomal RNA", at positions 28 to 1381 of the family's 1533-position model. The record is from RNAcentral.